CCUACGGGGGGCAGCAGUAGGGAAUAUUGCUCAAUGGGGGAAACCCUGAAGCAGCAACGCCGCGUGGAGGAUGAAGGUUUUCGGAUUGUAAACUCCUUUUGUUAGAGAAGAUAAUGACGGUAUCUAACGAAUAAGCACCGGCUAACUCCGUGCCAGCAGCCGCGGUAAUACGGAAGGUGCAAGCGUUACUCGGAAUCACUGGGCGUAAAGAGCGCGUAGGCGGGAUAGCAAGUCAGAUGUGAAAUCCUAUGGCUUAACCAUAGAACUGCAUUUGAAACUGUUAUUCUAGAGUAUGGGAGAGGUAGGUGGAAUGCUUGGUGUAGGGGUAAAAUGCGUAGAGAUCAAGAGGAAUACUCAUUGCGAAGGCGACCUGCUAGAACAUAACUGACGCUGAUGCGCGAAAGCGUGGGGAGCAAACAGGAUUAGAUACCCCUGUAGUC
Molecule: ribosomal RNA, 440 nt
Filed under: uncultured bacterium
Lineage: Bacteria
Description: partial 16S ribosomal RNA
Rfam family: Bacterial small subunit ribosomal RNA
Source: RNAcentral